RNAcentral lists this ribosomal RNA (434 nucleotides) under uncultured bacterium. RNAcentral's name for it is "partial 16S ribosomal RNA". It matches the Rfam family "Bacterial small subunit ribosomal RNA", at positions 29 to 507 of the family's 1533-position model. The record is from RNAcentral.
AGCGAACGCUGGCGGCAGGCCUAACACAUGCAAGUCGAACGAACCUUUCGGGGUUAGUGGCGGACGGGUGAGUAACACGUGGGAACGUGCCUUUAGGUUCGGAAUAACUCAGGGAAACUUGUGCUAAUACCGAAUGUGCCCUUCGGGGGAAAGAUUAAUCGCCUUUAGAGCGGCCCGCGUCUGAUUAGCUAGUUGGUUGAGGUAAUGGCUCACCAAGGCGACGAUCAGUAGCUGGUCUGAGAGGAUGAUCAGCCACAUUGGGACUGAGACACGGCCCAAACUCCGACGGGAGGCAGCAGUGGGGAAUCUUGCGCAAUGGGCGAAAGCCUGACGCAGCCAUGCCGCGUGAAUGAUGAAGGUCUUAGGAUUGUAAAAUUCUUUCACCGGGGACGAUAAUGACGGUACCCGGAGAAGAAGCCCCGGCUAACUUCGUG